Molecule: ribosomal RNA, 468 nt
Filed under: uncultured bacterium
Lineage: Bacteria
Description: partial 16S ribosomal RNA
Rfam family: Bacterial small subunit ribosomal RNA
Source: RNAcentral
GACGAGCGCUGGCGGCGUGCUUAACACAUGCAAGUCGAACGGAAAGGCCCUGCUUUUGUGGGGUGCUCGAGUGGCGAACGGGUGAGUAACACGUGAGUAACCUGCCCUUGACUUUGGGAUAACUUCAGGAAACUGGGGCUAAUACCGGAUAGGAGCUCCUGCAGCAUGGUGGGGGUUGGAAAGUUUCGGCGGUUGGGGGUGGACUCGCGGCUUAUCAGCUUGCUGGUGGGGUAGUGGCUUACCAAGGCUUUGACGCGUAGCCGGCCUGAGAGGGUGACCGGCCACAUUGGGACUGAGAUACGGCCCAGACUCCUACGGGAGGCAGCAGUGGGGAAUAUUGUACAAUGGGCGGAAGCCUGAUGCAGCAACGCCGCGUGCGGGAAGACGGCCAUCGGUUUGUAAUCCGCUUUCGCCUGUGACGAAGCGUGAGUGACGGUAAUGGGUAAAGAAGCACCGGCUAACUACGUG